RNAcentral lists this ribosomal RNA (253 nucleotides) under uncultured bacterium. RNAcentral describes it as "partial 16S ribosomal RNA". It matches the Rfam family "Bacterial small subunit ribosomal RNA", at positions 524 to 776 of the family's 1533-position model. The record is from RNAcentral.
AACGUAGGACGCAAGCGUUAUCCGGAGUUACUGGGCGUAAAGCGCGGGCAGGCGGCUCGAAACGUCUGAUGUGAAAUCUCCUCGCUCAACGGGGAGAGGCCAUUGGAAACGGUCGAGCUGGAGGGCAGUAGAGGUAGGCGGAAUUCCGGGUGGAGUGGUGAAAUGCGUAGAGAUCCGGAGGAACACCAGAGGCGAAGGCGGCCUACUGGGCUGCACCUGACGCUGAGCCGCGAAAGCGUGGGUAGCAAACAGG